This 572-nucleotide ribosomal RNA is filed under the name uncultured Bacteroidales bacterium. Its description in RNAcentral is "bacterial SSU rRNA". It matches the Rfam family "Bacterial small subunit ribosomal RNA", at positions 163 to 734 of the family's 1533-position model. The record is from RNAcentral. Lineage: Bacteria; Pseudomonadati; Bacteroidota; Bacteroidia; Bacteroidales.
UUAAUACCCGAUAGCAUAAUGAUUCCGCAUGGUUUCAUUAUUAAAGGAUUCCGGUAAAGGAUGGGGAUGCGUUCCAUUAGGUUGUUGGUGAGGUAACGGCCCACCAAGCCUUCGAUGGAUAGGGGUUCUGAGAGGAAGGUCCCCCACAUUGGAACUGAGACACGGUCCAAACUCCUACGGGAGGCAGCAGUGAGGAAUAUUGGUCAAUGGGCGUUAGCCUGAACCAGCCAAGUAGCGUGAAGGAUGAAGGCUCUAUGGGUCGUAAACUUCUUUUAUAUAAGAAUAAAGUGCAGUAUGUAUACUGUUUUGUAUGUAUUAUAUGAAUAAGGAUCGGCUAACUCCGUGCCAGCAGCCGCGGUAAUACGGAGGAUCCGAGCGUUAUCCGGAUUUAUUGGGUUUAAAGGGAGCGUAGGUGGACUGGUAAGUCAGUUGUGAAAGUUUGCGGCUCAACCGUAAAAUUGCAGUUGAUACUGUCAGUCUUGAGUACAGUAGAGGUGGGCGGAAUUCGUGGUGUAGCGGUGAAAUGCUUAGAUAUCACGAAGAACUCCGAUUGCGAAGGCAGCUCACUGGAC